This 497-nucleotide ribosomal RNA is filed under the name uncultured Sphingobacteriales bacterium. RNAcentral's name for it is "bacterial SSU rRNA". It matches the Rfam family "Bacterial small subunit ribosomal RNA", at positions 887 to 1382 of the family's 1533-position model. The record is from RNAcentral. Lineage: Bacteria; Pseudomonadati; Bacteroidota; Sphingobacteriia; Sphingobacteriales.
CGCCAGCCCGCUCAGAAACUCAAAGGAAUUGACGGGGGCCCGCACAAGCGGUGGAGCAUGUGGUUUAAUUCGAUGAUACGCGAGGAACCUUACCUGGGCUCAAAUGUAUGUUGACGUAUUCUGAAAGGGAUACUUCUUCGGACAAUAUACAAGGUGCUGCAUGGUUGUCGUCAGCUCGUGCCGUGAGGUGUCGGGUUAAGUCCCAUAACGAGCGCAACCCCUAUCAUUAGUUGCCAUCAGGUCAAGCUGGGGACUCUAAUGAAACUGCCUACGCAAGUAGUGAGGAAGGUGGGGAUGACGUCAAAUCAGCACGGCCCUUACGUCCAGGGCUACACACGUGCUACAAUGGCCGAUACAGAGGGCAGCUACCUGGUGACAGGAUGCAAAUCUCCAAAGUCGGUCUCAGUUCGGAUCGGAGUCUGCAACCCGACUCCGUGAAGUUGGAUUCGCUAGUAAUCGUGAAUCAGAAUGUCACGGUGAAUACGUUCCCGGGCCUU